GGACCAGUAGCUCAGCUGGAUAGAGCACCUGCCUUCUAAGCAGGCGGUCAUAGGUUCGAAUCCUAUCUGGUUCA
Molecule: transfer RNA, 74 nt
Filed under: Cryomorphaceae bacterium
Lineage: Bacteria; Pseudomonadati; Bacteroidota; Flavobacteriia; Flavobacteriales; Cryomorphaceae
Description: tRNA-Arg
Rfam family: tRNA
About the family: Transfer RNA (tRNA) molecules are approximately 80 nucleotides in length.
Source: RNAcentral